AAGAAAAUGGCAGAGCGGCUAUGCGGUUGGCUUGAAACCAUCCUAUGGGGGUUCGACUCCCUCUUUUCUCG
RNAcentral lists this transfer RNA (71 nucleotides) under Echiichthys vipera (lesser weever). RNAcentral's name for it is "tRNA-Ser". It matches the Rfam family "tRNA". Rfam says of the family: Transfer RNA (tRNA) molecules are approximately 80 nucleotides in length. Their secondary structure includes four short double-helical elements and three loops (D, anti-codon, and T loops). Further hydrogen bonds mediate the characteristic L-shaped molecular structure. tRNAs have two regions of fundamental functional importance: the anti-codon, which is responsible for specific mRNA codon recognition, and the 3' end, to which the tRNAs corresponding amino acid is attached (by aminoacyl-tRNA synthetases). tRNAs cope with the degeneracy of the genetic code in two manners: having more than one tRNA (with a specific anti-codon) for a particular amino acid; and 'wobble' base-pairing, i.e. permitting non-standard base-pairing at the 3rd anti-codon position. Lineage: Eukaryota; Metazoa; Chordata; Actinopteri; Perciformes; Trachinidae. The record is from RNAcentral.